AAAUAAGAGAUAACUUCUCUCUCUCUCGAUUCGGUUCCAGUCGUCUUAGAAAAAAAUACAUCGUAAGUACAUUUUAUUUUGGUGAUUCAAUUAAAUUUUUGACGUUCGAUAGAAUCUUAGAAAGAAAUCUGUUUGUUUUUGGAGAAUUAAAAAAAAAAAAGUAGCAGUAAGCUAACUUCGGAACGUAUCAUCGCUUCUACUUACAUCAACCGGUAACAGUUUGGAUUGAUUUUGGUCGGCACUCCAAGACACUCCCUGGGGAUGAAGUGUCACACUUAAUCCUCCAAAGGAUAGCCCAUGUCCAGUCGGACUAUUUUCGGUUGGCCAGCAAAACAAGCAUGGCUGUCAACCGGCCAGCAGUUUUUACCGAGCCAUAUUUUUUAGUUUUUCUUGUCAAACUCGAUCUUUUGUGUAAAAUUUAAGAUGACGUUAGAAUCUAAAUUUAAAGCCGAGCCGUUCUUCGUUAAUCAACGAUUACUCCUAACUGUUUAUGAGUUCUCCUCAAUUAGGAGGCACGCGAGCCGCUCUGUAAAUUGGAAUAACAAAAGCGGAAAAAGAAAAAAAAAAUUUAAUUAUUCACUUCUUGCCUUUAAAACGAGUCUAUUCGUUAUUUGUAUUAAUAUAUCUUUAACCGUUUCGCUUUAAUUAUGUUUAUUUCAUUUAAUGAUGUUUAUUUCACUUUGAUCGAGUUUAAUCUUGGUUAAUUAUGUUCUUUUCAGUUUAAUUAUAUUUAAUUUACCUAAUGUACGUUUCAUUUUUAAUUGUAUUCUUUCGAUUUAAAUUGUUUAUUUCAGUCGGUUGUGUCC
This 806-nucleotide long non-coding RNA is filed under the name Androctonus crassicauda. The record is from RNAcentral. Lineage: Eukaryota; Metazoa; Arthropoda; Arachnida; Scorpiones; Buthidae.